Molecule: non-coding RNA, 29 nt
Filed under: Mus musculus (house mouse)
Lineage: Eukaryota; Metazoa; Chordata; Mammalia; Rodentia; Muridae
Source: RNAcentral
UGGUGCUUCCACAGACUAAACUUAAUCUC